This 245-nucleotide ribosomal RNA is filed under the name uncultured bacterium. RNAcentral describes it as "partial small subunit ribosomal RNA". It matches the Rfam family "Bacterial small subunit ribosomal RNA", at positions 26 to 285 of the family's 1533-position model. The record is from RNAcentral.
AGAAUCAACGCUGGCGGCGUGCCUAACACAUGCAAGUCGAACGAGGAAGUGGAGCAAUCCAUGAGUAAAGUGGCGACCGGGUGAGUAACACGUGACUAACCUACCUUCGAGUGGGGGAUAACCUCGGGAAACCGAGGCUAAUACCGCAUAACAUCGUGAGAUCAAAGCAGUAAUGCGCUGGAAGAGGGGGUCGCGGCUGAUUAGCUAGUUGGCGGGGUAAUGGCCCACCAAGGCGAAGAUCGGUA